RNAcentral lists this ribosomal RNA (1006 nucleotides) under Kocuria salsicia. Its description in RNAcentral is "bacterial SSU rRNA". It matches the Rfam family "Bacterial small subunit ribosomal RNA", at positions 442 to 1454 of the family's 1533-position model. Lineage: Bacteria; Bacillati; Actinomycetota; Actinomycetes; Micrococcales; Micrococcaceae. The record is from RNAcentral.
CGGAAGAAGCGAGAGUGACGGUACGUGCAGAAGAAGCGCCGGCUAACUACGUGCCAGCAGCCGCGGUAAUACGUAGGGCGCAAGCGUGUCCGGAAUUAUUGGGCGUAAAGAGCUCGUAGGCGGUUUGUCGCGUCUGCUGUGAAAGCCCGGGGCUUAACCCCGGGUGUGCAGUGGGUACGGGCAGACUUGAGUGCAGUAGGGGAGACUGGAAUUCCUGGUGUAGCGGUGAAAUGCGCAGAUAUCAGGAAGAACACCGAUGGCGAAGGCAGGUCUCUGGGCUGUUACUGACGCUGAGGAGCGAAAGCAUGGGGAGCGAACAGGAUUAGAUACCCUGGUAGUCCAUGCCGUAAACGUUGGGCACUAGGUGUGGGGGACAUUCCACGUUUUCCGCGCCGUAGCUAACGCAUUAAGUGCCCCGCCUGGGGAGUACGGCCGCAAGGCUAAAACUCAAAGGAAUUGACGGGGGCCCGCACAAGCGGCGGAGCAUGCGGAUUAAUUCGAUGCAACGCGAAGAACCUUACCAAGGCUUGACAUACACCGGACCGGUUCAGAGAUGUUCCUUCCCCCUUGUGGGGCUGGUGUACAGGUGGUGCAUGGUUGUCGUCAGCUCGUGUCGUGAGAUGUUGGGUUAAGUCCCGCAACGAGCGCAACCCUCGUUCUAUGUUGCCAGCACGUGAUGGUGGGGACUCAUAGGAGACUGCCGGGGUCAACUCGGAGGAAGGUGGGGAUGACGUCAAAUCAUCAUGCCCCUUAUGUCUUGGGCUUCACGCAUGCUACAAUGGCCGGUACAAUGGGUUGCGAUACCGUGAGGUGGAGCUAAUCCCAAAAAGCCGGUCUCAGUUCGGAUCGUGGUCUGCAACUCGACCACGUGAAGUCGGAGUCGCUAGUAAUCGCAGAUCAGCAACGCUGCGGUGAAUACGUUCCCGGGCCUUGUACACACCGCCCGUCAAGUCACGAAAGUUGGUAACACCCGAAGCCGGUGGCCUAACCCUUGUGGGAGGGAGCC